Molecule: transfer RNA, 65 nt
Filed under: Pieris brassicae (large cabbage white)
Lineage: Eukaryota; Metazoa; Arthropoda; Insecta; Lepidoptera; Pieridae
Description: tRNA-Glu
Rfam family: tRNA
About the family: Transfer RNA (tRNA) molecules are approximately 80 nucleotides in length. Their secondary structure includes four short double-helical elements and three loops (D, anti-codon, and T loops).
Source: RNAcentral
AUUUAUGUAGUUUAAUAAAAACUUUACAUUUUCAAUGUAAAAAUAAAAUUUAAUUUUCAUAAAUU